RNAcentral lists this ribosomal RNA (496 nucleotides) under uncultured bacterium. Its description in RNAcentral is "partial 16S ribosomal RNA". It matches the Rfam family "Bacterial small subunit ribosomal RNA", at positions 28 to 507 of the family's 1533-position model. The record is from RNAcentral.
GACGAACGCUGGCGGCGUGCCUAAUACAUGCAAGUAGAACGCUGAAGCGAGGAGCUUACUCUUCUUGGAUGAGUUGCGAACGGGUGAGUAACGCGUAGGUAACCUGCCUUGUAGCGGGGGAUAACUAUUGGAAACGAUAGCUAAUACCGCAUAACAAUGGAUGACACAUGUCAUUUAUUUGAAAGGGGCAAUUGCUCCACUACAAGAUGGACUUGCGUUGUAUUAGCUAGUAGGUGAGGUAAUGGCUUACCAAGGCGACGAUGCAUAGCCGACCUGAGAGGGUGAGCGGACACAAUGGAACUGAGAGCAGGUACAGACUCCUAAGGGAGGAAGCAGUAGGGAAUCUUCAGAAAUGGGCGAAAGCGUGACGGAGCAACGCAGCGUGAGUGAUGAAGGUAUUAGGAUAGUAAAACUCUGUGAUUAGGGAAGAAAAUAUGUGUAAGUAACGGUGCACAUCUUGACGGUACCUAAUCAGAAAGCAACGGCUAACUACGUG